GACGAACGCUGGCGGCGUGCCUAAUACAUGCAAGUUGAGCGCUGAAGGUUGGUACUUGUACCAACUGGAUGAGCAGCGAACGGGUGAGUAACGCGUGGGGAAUCUGCCUUUGAGCGGGGGACAACAUUUGGAAACGAAUGCUAAUACCGCAUAAAAACUUUAAACACAUGUUUUAAGUUUGAAAGAUGCAAUUGCAUCACUCAAAGAUGAUCCCGCGUUGUAUUAGCUAGUUGGUGAGGUAAAGGCUCACCAAGGCGAUGAUACAUAGCCGACCCGAGAGGGUGAUCGGCCACAUUGGGACUGAGACACGGCCCAAACUCCUACGGGAGGCAGCAGUAGGGAAUCUUCGGCAAUGGACGAAAGUCUGACCGAGCAACGCCGCGUGAGUGAAGAAGGUUUUCGGAUCGUAAAACUCUGUUGGUAGAGAAGAACGGUGGUGAGAGUGGAAAGCUCAUCAAGUGACGGUAACUAACCAGAAAGGGACGGCUAACUACGUG
Molecule: ribosomal RNA, 497 nt
Filed under: uncultured bacterium
Lineage: Bacteria
Description: partial 16S ribosomal RNA
Rfam family: Bacterial small subunit ribosomal RNA
Source: RNAcentral